AACCUAAUGUUGGUUAAUGCUACAUCAACUAGGUAGACAUAAUCCUUUGGAGUAAAACAUGAGCGAUAAAAUUAUUCACCUGACUGAC
Molecule: small RNA, 88 nt
Filed under: Chimaeribacter arupi
Lineage: Bacteria; Pseudomonadati; Pseudomonadota; Gammaproteobacteria; Enterobacterales; Yersiniaceae
Description: TrxA 5' UTR thermometer
Rfam family: TrxA 5' UTR thermometer
About the family: Involved in protection against oxidative stress.
Source: Rfam by way of RNAcentral